ACUUAUAAUUAUGACUUAAAACCUUUUCUGAAAACAGUUGUUUUCAUGAUCAUAACUCUAACAAAAUCUUUUCAUUGAUUCAGGUUUUAAUUUUUGUAUUGAGUUGGAGGCGGAUAGGUGGCUUUGGAAGUUUUAUCUAACGGCUUUGGAAAAUGCUGCGGUUUUUACAGGAGAAUGUUUCUAAAGGCAUAUGUGUUUGUUUUGAAAAUCCAAAUUUUAAACAUUGUUUUGUGUUCAUAUUUUUCAUUUAUAUGGUUUUUCAUGAUGAAUUUAACAAAAAAUAAGACUGGUUUUAAUGAAAGUCUGCAUUAGUGA
Helianthus annuus (common sunflower) is the source of this 315-nucleotide long non-coding RNA. RefSeq lists it as uncharacterized. Lineage: Eukaryota; Viridiplantae; Streptophyta; Magnoliopsida; Asterales; Asteraceae. The record is from RefSeq and is a predicted model, not a curated record. The transcript has 2 exons.